CCUUCCUCUUAGACCCCGCGAGGGUGAUGCAACCUUCGCAUACUGCGGUUGCGAGGCUCCAAGGCCGCCUUCUGCGCGGGAGGAGUGACCCCUGGCGGCCGACGCAGACAUUGCGGGCUUGGUGCUUGGACUCAACUUCUGAGCUGUGUUGCAUCAGCCAACGGGCCCUAAGGAAGCUGAAUAAUGCCUCAGGCUUCCUGCCACCCUGCAGGCCGGGAAGUUGGCAGGUGUGGCGGGUGGGGUGAGGGGUCCGAGUCCCAUGGCCUAGGACGUUCAUUUCUCCGAGGCUCGGUCUCUCCUCUGGUGGGACCAUGUCUCGAAGAGCCCCUGGCUUGGCUUCUGGAGCUGGCGGCCAGAGCCACCAGGAAGAUCAAGGAGCCAGGGCCACCCUCACGUUGCCUAGGCAACAGCAUCCGUGAUCAGACUGUAAGGCAACUGGGACCCAUGCGUGCUCCCCGGGGGAGGCUGCAGGUUCACGUCGGUGUCCGGGUAUCUUACAGAAUGUUCUUAAUCUUCACGUGCUUCUUCUGAGAUCAGUGAUAAAGAAGACACGGAUACAGCAAGAAGGAAGGAGGCCCUGUGCACGACACUAAGAUGAGUGACGCCACAGCACGGACCUUUGCUCAAGAUCCGUCAGCAGGAAAUACCCCCCAAGUGCCGAGAGUGCUGGCAUGCAGCAGAG
This 682-nucleotide long non-coding RNA is filed under the name Homo sapiens (human). Its description in RNAcentral is "non-protein coding lnc-KLHDC4-1:2". The record is from RNAcentral. Lineage: Eukaryota; Metazoa; Chordata; Mammalia; Primates; Hominidae.